This is a non-coding RNA of Triticum aestivum (bread wheat), 135 nucleotides long. The record is from Rfam. Lineage: Eukaryota; Viridiplantae; Streptophyta; Magnoliopsida; Poales; Poaceae.
AUGAUACUCCCUCUGUCCCAAAAUUCUUGUCUUAGAUUUGUCUAGAUGCGGAUGUACCUAAUACUAAAACGUGACUUGAUACAUCCGUAUUUAGAAAAAUCUAAGACAAGAAUUUUGGGACCGAGGGAGUAUGAU